GGCUUGGUUAGAAUGAGACUCCCCACUCCAUCGGCAUGGUUGACUUUCAAUUCAGCAGGUUCAGGGUUCGAAUCCCUUAGGGGCUCACCA
This 90-nucleotide transfer RNA is filed under the name Chloroflexota bacterium. RNAcentral describes it as "tRNA-Glu". The record is from RNAcentral. Lineage: Bacteria; Bacillati; Chloroflexota.